The sequence is a transfer RNA, 73 nucleotides long. It matches the Rfam family "tRNA". Rfam says of the family: Transfer RNA (tRNA) molecules are approximately 80 nucleotides in length. Their secondary structure includes four short double-helical elements and three loops (D, anti-codon, and T loops).
GGGUUGGUAGCUCAGUCGGUAGAGCACUGGACUUUUAAUCCAUUGGUCGUGGGUUCGAAUCCCACCCAACCCA